Molecule: ribosomal RNA, 301 nt
Filed under: uncultured bacterium
Lineage: Bacteria
Description: partial 16S ribosomal RNA
Rfam family: Bacterial small subunit ribosomal RNA
Source: RNAcentral
CAGUCGCCGCGGUAAUACGAAGGGUGCAAGCGUUAAUCGGAAUUACUGGGCGUAAAGCGCGCGUAGGUGGUUUGGUAAGAUGGAUGUGAAAUCCCCGGGCUCAACCUGGGAACUGCAUCCAUAACUGCCUGACUAGAGUACGGUAGAGGGUGGUGGAAUUUCCUGUGUAGCGGUGAAAUGCGUAGAUAUAGGAAGGAACACCAGUGGCGAAGGCGACCACCUGGACUGAUACUGACACUGAGGUGCGAAAGCGUGGGGAGCAAACAGGAUUAGAGACCCCAGUAGUCCCUGUCUCUUAUAC